GCAGUGAAAUACUACAAAAGCUAUCAUGGA
This 30-nucleotide non-coding RNA is filed under the name Mus musculus (house mouse). Lineage: Eukaryota; Metazoa; Chordata; Mammalia; Rodentia; Muridae. The record is from RNAcentral.